RNAcentral lists this long non-coding RNA (3354 nucleotides) under Malus domestica (apple). Its description in RNAcentral is "long non-coding RNA (MDOM_LNC001706)". Lineage: Eukaryota; Viridiplantae; Streptophyta; Magnoliopsida; Rosales; Rosaceae. The record is from RNAcentral.
AAUCAAAUAGAUAAGUAAACCACAUUCACGAUUUAUGAAAUCAUAACUGGAGGAAAUCAAAUCAUAUAAAACAUAUGAUCAUGGCUUUGAAUUCCCCUCUAACUAUAAAGAAAUUAGUUCCUCAUGUUCACAAAUAAACAAAGAUAAAUAAAUCUAAACAUUGACAUAAAGAUAGAAAACACCUAGAAACGCUCCAACAAUCCAAGCUCCUUGAAUGUCAUGCACGGCUCCAAGAGUCUCUUUCCUUCUCCUUUGCAAACUUAAGGCACAAGAGGGAUGAUUGGGUGAAUGGUGUAGUGAAAAUCUGGUAGAGGGUGGUGAGAAUGAAAGGGUGCGGCACUACAUAUAUAUAGGCUGAAAAUCACAGCCCCUAGGUAGCAAAGGAAAAGGAUUUAAAGGCCUAAGUUGCAUAGGAAAAUAAAACACAAUCCUUGAAGGAAAACAAAUCAGAAAUCCAAAGGGAAUGGGAGGAUAAGGUGCAGCACCAAACCAGGAGGGGAUAAGGGCUUCUAGAAACCAAAAUCCCAAGGGAAUUGGGUAAAAACUCACGGCACAAAGUGGAGGGAAAGUGGCUGAAUUGCAAUGCAAGGCAAAGGUCUUCUAGAAAGGUUCUAGGCGCCAUUUUUGUAGGAAAGGAUUAGGUUUUCUAGAAAUCUAAUUUUAAGCAUCCUAAUAUAGCUAGGAAUCCUCCCAAGUAGCUGAAAUAUAGGUGGAUUAGGAUUAGGAUAAGAUAGGAUAGGAUAGGAUAGGAUUGGAUAGGAUAAGGUUUGGAUAAUGUUUUGGAUAAGGUUUCUUUACUUGAGCUGAUUCUUUGGCUUUAACUUCCAUUCUUCAAGUAGGAAGCCUUGUUUGAGUAGGAAACUUCAAUCUUCUAGGAAUCCAACUUCACUUAGGAAUCAUUCUUCAACUAGGAAUCCAUCUUCAACUAGGAAUCCAUGUUUGACUAGGAUUUCAUCUUCAAUUAAGCACUUUCCCACUUCAAUUAGGAAACUUUGCAUCUUCAAAUCUUCAACUUUGAAACACAAUCCUAGCUCUUCAAUCCUUCAAAUUCGUCCAUUCAUUGUGCUCCACAUGCAUGAGCUCCAUUCUAGCUCAAUUUUGCUCCAAAAUGCAUCUUUUUGCUUACUUUGUCCUUAAAACUUGAAAACACAUGAAAAUAGCUUAAAAGACUAACUUAACUAAGAAAACACAACAUAAAUGCAUAAGAACUAGCUAACUAAGGCGCAUAAAUAUGCUCCUAUCAAAUUCCCCCACACUUAGCUUUUGCUAGUCCUCGAGCAAAACAAAGAAACAAAACUAAACGAAACAAAAUAAUCAAAACAUAACCUAAACCUUCCAACAUUUGCCUCAGGGAUUCCCAAUGCACAUGACAUAUUAAAAUCAUCAUUCCCACAGAUUUUAGUCAUCUUCACACUUAAGCACAUACUUAAUCAUAAUCACCACGUACUAGUUCACAUUUAACCAAUUACAACAUGAUUUUUAAUGUAGUAACAUGCCUUAGAGAAUUUGCUCAAGUCCUUACUAGAUAUGCACUCAAUUUUACACAGAUUUUCUAACUACACACCCUAUACUAGUUAUAUGUGAGAAGAUUGAUGUAAAUAUGAAAACGAACGCUCACAUAUAUGUAUAACAAAGAAAGCAUUUUCUGGAGUUAAUAAGCAUUUAGAUAUGAUCUCAUGAAUGAAAUGCUACUACUUAGAUGCGAGAACCAAGGAUAUCAUAUGCUCAUACCAAUUCCAAACUCCACAUAUUGAAACACAUAACAAUCAAGAUAGAAGCAAAGGGUUGUAACGGGGCUAAGGUAUUGGCUAACAAAGGAAGGUAAGGAUAAACAAACAUUCUUAAAGAAUAAUAAGCAAAUUAAUGAAAUUGACACUUAGAAUUCACUUUUGCAUGCAAAAAUCAAUUUUUAAACACAAGGGGAAGACUCAUGCAACACUUAGGGCCAAAUUCAAGCUUUUUGGACCCUUUCUUCAACAACCAACACUUUAGAGCUUCUUUUCACACAUUUUUCAACUCUUCUUCAUUCUUUUCACAUUUUUUCUUCAUUUUUUUCUUUUUCUACGAAUUUUGCUCUUUUUCUCUUUUUUUUUCUUUUUUUUUCUCUUCUUCUAACCCGUGCCCUUCUACUUCUUUUGGCACCAAAAUUUCCCUUCUCCCACAAUGUUGAUAAAAAGGAAUUCCCUCUAAGUCAUGCUUUAUUAUCCUUUAAGAACAAGGGUAUGGAUAGUCCUAAUCUAGGCUAGGUAAGGAUAAUGUGGCUAACAAAGAAAAUGGCUAACUAAGGCUCAAAAGGGUAAACCUACAAAACAAAUGCAUGGUACGAAGGCUUUUUGGCUCUGGUGGUAACUACUAAACAACUUCAUCUUAUUAGUUAUGCUAAUCAAUUUUUAUGCUAUGAAUGAAAUGGGUAUGAGUUCUAAUAUUUGGAUCUAUAAUGAUGACACGCCUUCUAAGUAGCAACCAAGCAAAGAAUGAUGAGAUCAUGCAAUGACUUUAGAAAACAACAAAUUCACAGAUUAUCACUCUCCAAAGAAUGUUUAGGCUCAAGUCUCACAGGGUUGUAGCGUUAGUUUGAGUUACUUCCUUCAAGCAUGUUACAAAAACUGAUUUUUUCUUUAUGAUUACAUGUGAAUUCAUAAACAACAAUGAUGACCAAGCAUAAACAAAAGAGCAAUUCAAACUUCCAUCCAUGUUUGUAACUUUCUUUAACAGUCAUGCAAUUAAAAACCAAAUCCUCAUCAUUGUGUUGGAAGGUACUCUAAGACACAAACAAACACACAAAAACGACUUUUUUUGGGUUUUUCAAAACAAUUUCUUCAAAUUUUUAUGGGAUUUUCGGAUUUUCAUGUUAAAACACACUAAAAUGCUUCAAAACACACUAAAAACACUUAAAAACAAUGAAAAACAACCUUUGAAAUGUUAGGUGGUAAAAUCCUACGAAUUUUUCAAUAAAAACACUUGUUUACCCCCCCCACACUUAAACCAAACAUUGUCCUCAAUAUUUCAAACAUAGACUCACACAAAAAACAAGCAAACAACACAACUAGCAAACAUGACAAAUAUGGCAAAAUAAAAGCAAUAAAGAGUAGGGUUUAGGAACGCAAAUCUAGUUGUGAUGCCGGAGCUUCCUAGGUCUUCUUUAUUCGCAUGGGUUGCCUCCCACGAAGCGCUUGCUUUAACGUCUUCCAGCCGGAUGAUGCCUCCUGAUAGGAGCAUAUUUAUGCGACUUCGUUGGCUUGUUCUUGUGCAUUUAUGUCGUGUUUCCUUAGUUAUUUUAAUGUUUAAAGUCAUUUUCGUGUUUUUUCAGAUUUUAUGGACAAAGUAGGCAAGAAGAUGCAUUUUGGAGCAUUU